GACGAACGCUGGCGGCGUGCUUAACACAUGCAAGUCGAACGGAAAGGCCCUGCUUUUGUGGGGUGCUCGAGUGGCGAACGGGUGAGUAACACGUGAGUAACCUGCCCUUGACUUUGGGAUAACUUCUGGAAACUGGGGCUAAUACCGGAUAGGAGCUCCUGCUGCAUGGUGGGGGUUGGAAAGUUUCGGCGGUUGGGGAUGGACUCGCGGCUUAUCAGCUUGUUGGUGGGGUAGUGGCUUACCAAGGCUUUGACGGGUAGCCGGCCUGAGAGGGUGACCGGCCACAUUGGGACUGAGAUACGGCCCAGACUCCUACGGGAGGCAGCAGUGGAGAAUAUUGCACAAUGGGCGGAAGCCUGAUGCAGCAACGCCGCGUGCGGGAUGACGGCCUUCGGGUUGUAAACCGCUUUCGCCUGUGACGAAGCGUGAGUGACGGUAAUGGGUAAAGAAGCACCGGCUAACUACGUG
This 468-nucleotide ribosomal RNA is filed under the name uncultured bacterium. RNAcentral describes it as "partial 16S ribosomal RNA". It matches the Rfam family "Bacterial small subunit ribosomal RNA", at positions 28 to 507 of the family's 1533-position model. The record is from RNAcentral.